Long non-coding RNA from Daphnia pulicaria, 107 nucleotides. RefSeq lists it as uncharacterized. The transcript is spliced from 3 exons. The record is from RefSeq and is a predicted model, not a curated record. Lineage: Eukaryota; Metazoa; Arthropoda; Branchiopoda; Diplostraca; Daphniidae.
CCAGAAUCAGCAUCACCCUUUUCUGUCGAAUCUGGUCAAUUUAUAACAAACAAAUGAAACAUAAUGCGCUGAAAAAAUUAUAAUAAGAUUGCAUAUUUUGAAACCAA